GACGAACGCUGGCGGCGUGCUUAACACAUGCAAGUCGAACGGAAAGGCCCUGCUUGCAGGGUACUCGAGUGGCGAACGGGUGAGUAACACGUGGGUGAUCUGCCCUUCACUUCGGGAUAAGCCUGGGAAACUGGGUCUAAUACCGGAUAGGAGCCAUUUUUAGUGUGAUGGUUGGAAAGUUUUUUCGGUGUAGGAUGAGCUCGCGGCCUAUCAGCUUGUUGGUGGGGUAAUGGCCUACCAAGGCGGCGACGGGUAGCCGGCCUGAGAGGGUGGACGGCCACAUUGGGACUGAGAUGCGGCACAGACUCCUACGGGAGGCAGCAGUGGGGAAUAUUGCACAAUGGGCGCAAGCCUGAUGCAGCGACGCCGCGUGGGGGAUGACGGCCUUCGGGUUGUAAACUCCUUUCGCUAGGGACGAAGCUUUUUGUGACGGUACCUAGAUAAGAAGCACCGGCUAACUACGUG
Molecule: ribosomal RNA, 465 nt
Filed under: uncultured bacterium
Lineage: Bacteria
Description: partial 16S ribosomal RNA
Rfam family: Bacterial small subunit ribosomal RNA
Source: RNAcentral